GAGUUUGAUCCUGGCUCAGGAUGAACGCUGGCGGCGUGCUUAACACAUGCAAGUCGAACGGGCGAAUUAUAUCGGAGGUCUUCGGGCCGAAGAGAUAAUAAGCUAGUGGCGGACGGGUGCGUAACGUGUGGGUAAUCUGCCUUUGUCAUAGGAAUAACUGCUUGAAAAAGUAGCUAAUACCAAAUAACAUAUCGUAUAGGCAUCUAUAAGAUAUCAAAGAGAAAUCGGACAAAGAUGAGCCCGCAUCUGAUUAGCUAGUUGGUAGGGUAAAAGCCUACCAAGGCGACGAUCAGUAGCCGGCCUGAGAGGGUGAACGGCCACAUUGGAACUGAGACACGGUCCAAACUCCUACGGGAGGCAGCAGUGGGGAAUAUUGCACAAUGGGGGGAACCCUGAUGCAGCAACGCCGCGUGAGUGAAGAAGGCUUUCGAGUCGUAAAACUCUGUUGUAAGGGAAGAUAAUGACGUACCUAAAAGAAGCCCCG
RNAcentral lists this ribosomal RNA (484 nucleotides) under Filifactor villosus. RNAcentral describes it as "bacterial SSU rRNA". It matches the Rfam family "Bacterial small subunit ribosomal RNA", at positions 9 to 495 of the family's 1533-position model. Lineage: Bacteria; Bacillati; Bacillota; Clostridia; Peptostreptococcales; Filifactoraceae. The record is from RNAcentral.